UUUUUAAACUUCCUGGAUUGAGUCCAUGCAGCUCAUGAACAAAGUUUUAUAAAAGCAUCUCUGGCACCUCAGAUCUCUGGCAUUUUGGGUCUGUGAGACCAGAUAACCCCUUUAGUCUGUGUAAUCAUAAGAAAGCUUGAAUUCUUCACUAAUAGGACAGAUUUUAAUCAUGCAUAGGUAAAUGUUCUCAUGUUCUAAGUUGACUUCAAUGCAUUUCACUUGGAUGUAUGGGACCACAGAGAUGUAAAGAGCGUGUCUGGGUCAAAUCUAACUCCAAAAUCGAGAAAAACAACAUAAUAGCAUUUUUUUUCCUACUUUUAUGCUAAAUUAAAUACAAAUCGUUGUAUUGCAGUAAAUAUAUUUUUUAUGUCACAGCAAUGUAAAUAACCAUCGGAAAAUUAAUUGGAAUUAUUGGAACUAAAAAUAGCACCUACACAAAAAAAAUAAAUAAAUAAAUAAAAAAUUGGUGUAAAAACAAUUUCCAUUCUUUUCACAAUUAAUUGCAAAGAAACAGCAAGUAACACACCGAACCUCUGAAGUAGAAAGGCUUAAAUAGUAUUUUCUUGCUAAACAUACUCUGGUAAUGGAUGUUUUAUUUCUAUCUUUCAAAAAAACAAACAAAAAAAAACAUUUCCACUGUAUUUCCGUAUUGAUACUUCAACAUUUCACCUUUACUUCAAUGUGUUAUUUUCUAAUUUUUUGAAAAUAUGUGCAAUUUACUUGCAAAAUCUGAGUGGAAAUUAUUUCUACACCAUUUGUUUAGUAUAAAAAUCAAAUAAAAAUUAUUUAUUGCUUCACAAUGAUUUGUAUUUAAAAUUUUACUACUGAUGGUUUAAUGGCUUAGGUUUAAUAGGUUCAAAAUAUAAUUAAUUAUUUUAAUUUCUUUCGUUUUUGGGGUGAAAUUUGACCUGAGCGUGUAUCUUUUUUUUUUUUUUUUGAGACUCGGCCAUAUGAAUUGUAAACAUACACUAUAUUAGAUUCAGUAUGCCAAUAAUGUGUACCAAAAUCAUGUUUUGAUAAGUCAUCAGGCCAAUUUUAUCUCUCGUCAGUAUCCACAACAUGCAGUAUGAGCUUCGUUUGAGAAGGACAGCUACGAGGAGAGUACAAAUGAUCUGUAUGCGUGUGUGUAUGAUUAUGGUUGAUGAUUUUUCUGGUUUAUACUCAAAGCAAUGCAUCAGAUAUGUUUGCCGUUGCCAAUAACCUUUUCACCAGGUGACUGUCUCGUCUUGGCGACUUCGUAGUGAUGGUACUGUUCACAUCCGGUCAAUGCAAAUAUAUGAUAAUACCCACUAAUUGUCUUAACAGUUGCUGUCAGACCUCCCUGAAAGCGUGUAUUAGGCUGGCAUCCUUUACUCGUUACCAAAACGUGACACAAAGCUGGAAUCGACAAGGCGGUCGUGUUGGAAAUGCGCUGUUUUGUGUUUCUUUGCAUGUGAUUGGCCAGAGGUUUCCAGAGGGACUCGACCUGGAAGCACUGAACCGAACAGCACCAUUAGCAAUGAUUAGCAAAAAUGAUGCCAUCGUUUGGGAAGGGAAGCACUUCCCCCCGACGCUCCCGGGCCUUUCCCCCCCUCUCUCUCGCUCUCCCUGUGAUCAUUUUUAUACUGCAGAUAUUUAUUUGGUCACCGUUUAAACUUUGUUGUAUAGUUAAAUGUAAGUAGGAAUCUAUGGGACUAUAACUUAUUGUUUUGUACACAGAUCUGUAAAGAGAGAGUGUAGAUGUAAACACUUCGGAAAGAGGACUUCAGAACUUUGUGUUGUCAUGGAUGUAUCUUCACAUUUGUUUAAAAAAUGAUAAAAAAGGAAAUAAAAGGCAAAGUAUUUUCCUGCAUCCUCUGCUCUUCAUUAAUGAAAUGCUGUUGUCUG
Cyprinus carpio carpio is the source of this 1866-nucleotide long non-coding RNA. Lineage: Eukaryota; Metazoa; Chordata; Actinopteri; Cypriniformes; Cyprinidae. The record is from Ensembl.